AAUGGAACAAUGUAGGCAAGGAAAGUCGGCAAAAUGGAUCUAUAACCUUGGGAAAAGGAUUGGCUCUAAGGUCUGGGCACGAGGGUCCCAGUCCCAAACCCGUAGGCUAUCGGUACACUACUCGAGCUGCUCCCGCGGCUAGAGGGGGUUGCUGCGUGCCGGCCGGGGGACGGACUGGGAACGGCACCCUCGGGGGCCUUCCCCGGGCGACGAACAGUCUACUCAGAAUUGGUACAGACAAAGGGAAUCCAACUGUUUAAUUAAAACAAAUCAUUGCGAUGGUCUCUGCAGAUGCUCAUGCAAUCUGAUUUCUACCUAGUGCUCUGAAUGUCAAAGUGAAGAAUUUCAACCAAGCGCGGCUAAACGACAGGAGUAACUAUGACUCUCUUAAGCGUGGCCUAUCGAUUUUUUAGACCUUCGGAAUAAGAAGCUAGAUGUGUUAGAAAUUUUACCACAUGCAUAACUGGCUUGUGGCAGCCGAGCGUUCAUAGCGACGUUGCUGUUUGGUCCUUCGAUGUCGACUCUUCCUAUCAUUGUGAAGCAGAAUCCACCAAGUAUUGGAUUGUUCACCCACCAAUAAGAAACGUGAGCUGGGUUUAGACCGUCGUGAGAUAGGUUAGUUUUACCCUACAGAUGGGCGCAUCAUAAUAGUAAUUCAACCUAGUACAAGAGGAACCGUUGAUUCGUACAAUUGGUUAUUGCGCUUGGUUGAAAAGCCAGUGGCGCAAAGUUACCAUGCGUUGGAUUAUGACUGAACAGUUCUAAGUCAAAAUCUGGGCUAGAAGUGACGCACGCGCCCGUCGCCCGAUUGCCGACCCGCAGUAGGGGCCUCUGGCCCCUAAGGGCACGUGUCGUAGGUGCAGCGACCGCGGCAGACAAUUCACAGGCGCCUCCCUGGAGCGUAAUUCCCACCGAGCGGCGGGUAGAAUCAUUUGCAGAUGACAUAAAUACACGACGGGGUAUUGUAAGUAGCAGAGUGGCCUUGCUGCCACGAUCCACUGAGAUUCAGCCCUUUUGUCGCUUCGAUUC
This is a non-coding RNA of Gossypium raimondii (Peruvian cotton), 1029 nucleotides long. The record is from Rfam. NCBI's taxonomy places the organism in Eukaryota, Viridiplantae, Streptophyta, Magnoliopsida, Malvales, Malvaceae.